GAACUUGAGGCAGAACUUAAGGCAGGCGAGCUGAGAGGGAGCGGGAGCCUGGACGAUCGGACCAUCCCCCUGCUGCCUGGACUGAGCAGUAAUUAACUGAGAGUUAGAACCUGAACUUACGCCAAAGCCUGGAGCGCGCAGAGGCAGGGCCGAGCUGGGAGUGCCUGAAAUGAGCUGUGAAAAUGCAGAAGUGCUGACCCAGGCCAGAAUUCAAGGUAGGGGAAGCCCAAGGAGAAAUUUAGGGAAGUGCAGGCUGGACAGUACUGUGACCUGAGGGGGUGCCCCAGCCCUCCCGCUGGAAUGAUUUCAGGAUUGAGGAAAGCCCGGUGGGGGGGGCUGAAAUGUACAUGUUCCUAUGUAAGCGUGGAAUUCCGAAAUAUUUUAAAGGUUUUAGGAAAGAAUUCAUGUGCUGAAAUGGCCUCUUUUCAUUGCUCUGUCAGUCAAAACAAAAGUGCCCCAUAGGAAGCCAAGAACCCUAUCGACGGAGCCCUCAAUCCCAGACCUCGACUCUGAGGAUUUAAUCUAAGGAAAUAAGACAGGAGAGGCAAAAGGCAAGGCUGUAUGAAGGUGCACAAUCCGCGACGUUCCAUAAAAGCAAGAACACAAAUACGAGAUCACAUGUGACGACCGGCGAUAGUGAUAAAUUUGACAAGGCAAGGAUAAGAACCCUCACAGCCAGAAAGGCUAUGCUGACAGCUUGCCCAGGAUGAGAACUAAGCUUACGGCGGUGCCGGACCCAGAUCCUCUCCUGUCAUUCAGGCGGUCACCCACAUGGUCUUCGAAGGUUCCUCCCGCUUCCACGUCAUGCAGUAAUUCUUCCCGAGUGGUCGAUGGUUAAGUCCAAAAUGGCAGCUUCCUUGAUUGUGUUCUGCAAAGUGACCCCAAAAGCCCAAAAUUUAUUGGGCUUUAUUUUCAGGUCACUCAGCCACCCAGCAGAAGCUGAGACAUCAUUGACUGUUGCUUCUUCCAGAAAGUGUUCCACAAAGUACCACAAGCCUUGGCCUCCAUCUGUCUGGUUAGCAGAAGGUUCCCACAACAAUCAAACCAAUGGGCUUUCUCCACUUGCCCUUUCAACCUCAACAAAUGCUCUGUAGAAUGGUCUCUCCAACAGAUCAUGGCUUGUAGAUAGGGAUGUUCUUCCUUGCACAUCAAUCCUGCUUCUCCUCUUGCCUUCCAAAGACCACAGAGACAUUCCCAUCCGUGUGUCUCGGGGCAUUUGAACAGGAAGCCAAGGGAGCAACAUCAGUCACCAUAUUAAAAAUAUACAGAGAGAGAAGAAAAGGAUUAAGAUCUUCUCUAUCCAAUGUACUUGACACAUUCUGGACUCACCUGCCUGCUACCCACCAGUCCUCACCGACCAAGUUCUUAACCAAGCCACAGAGAUGUAUGUUGGGCGUAGCUCUGAGCCUCUCA
Molecule: long non-coding RNA, 1413 nt
Organism: Mustela lutreola (European mink)
Lineage: Eukaryota; Metazoa; Chordata; Mammalia; Carnivora; Mustelidae
Exons: 3
Source: RefSeq, a predicted model, not a curated record